This 363-nucleotide unclassified non-coding RNA is filed under the name Hevea brasiliensis (rubber tree). Lineage: Eukaryota; Viridiplantae; Streptophyta; Magnoliopsida; Malpighiales; Euphorbiaceae. The record is from RNAcentral.
GACGCAGGCUGUGAUCUUCCACACUCAUUGUACAACUCGGACGCCUUUCUGUAAUGAUCGGAAACUUCAUUCCAGCGGCCAAGUUCCUUCGCUAAAGCACCAGCAGACUCCAUAUGUUUGGCAGCAUCCCAUGGCGAUGAAAUCAUUUCUUGUCCUUUUGAAGCCUUCUCAAAUGCUUCUUUCGCUUUCUCAUCGUCUUUCCUCAUUCUGUAACCAAUAGCAGCUUGUUCAUAUAAAACUGUAGCAGUCUUCCAAUCAGCAUUCCACCUAGUGAAACUUAGCUUUGUCAAUUUGUCAGCUUUUGCCAUGUAUGAGUCCGGAUCGGUUUUCGCCAUGGCUGCGAUGAGCUCCCGAUCUCUUCUU